AAAAAAACAAACCUUCAAUUUUCGUAUCCAACGUUUGACCGUUCAUCUUAUUUAAAAAAAUUAUGAAAUAAAUUAAAAAGACAAGUCACGCAUAAAGUAUUAACCAUGUUUUAUCAACCAUGAAAAUACUAAUUAUAAAAAAAAAUUUCAUAUAAGACGGACAGUCAAACGUUGGACACGGAAACCCAGAGUUUAUCUUUUU
Non-coding RNA from Oryza nivara, 202 nucleotides. Lineage: Eukaryota; Viridiplantae; Streptophyta; Magnoliopsida; Poales; Poaceae. The record is from Rfam.